GACGAACGCUGGCGGCGUGCUUAACACAUGCAAGUCGAACGGAAAGGCCCUGCUUUUGUGGGGUGCUCGAGUGGCGAACGGGUGAGUAACACGUGAGUAACCUGCCCUUGACUUUGGGAUAACUUCAGGAAACUGGGGCUAAUACCGGAUAGGAGCUCCUGCUGCAUGGUGGGGGUUGGAAAGUUUCGGCGGCUGGGGAUGGACUCGCGGCUUAUCAGCUUGUUGGUGGGGUAGUGGCUUACCAAGGCUUUGACGGGUAGGCGGCCUGGGAGGGUGACCGGCCACAUGGGGACUGAGAUACGGCCCAGACGCGUACGGGAGGCAGCAGUGGGGAAUAUUGCACAAUGGGCGGAAGCCGGAGGCAGCAACGCCGCGUGCGGGAUGACGGCCUUCGGGUUGUAAACCGCUUUCGCCUGUGACGAAGCGUGAGUGACGGUAAUGGGUAAAGAAGCACCGGCUAACUACGUG
RNAcentral lists this ribosomal RNA (468 nucleotides) under uncultured bacterium. RNAcentral describes it as "partial 16S ribosomal RNA". It matches the Rfam family "Bacterial small subunit ribosomal RNA", at positions 28 to 507 of the family's 1533-position model. The record is from RNAcentral.